ACGGGUGAGUAAUACAUCGGAACGUAUCCUGGAGUGGGGGAUAGCCCGGCGAAAGCCGGAUUAAUACCGCAUACGCUCUGAGGAGGAAAGCGGGGGACCUUCGGGCCUCGCGCUCAAGGGGCGGCCGAUGGCGGAUUAGGUAGUUGGUGGGGUAAAGGCCUACCGAGCCGACGAUCCGUAGCUGGUCUGAGAGGACGACCAGCCACACUGGGACUGAGACACGGCCCAGACUCCUACGGGAGGCAGCAGUGGGGAAUUUUGGACAAUGGGGGCAACCCUGAUCCAGCAAUGCCGCGUGUGUGAAGAAGGCCUUCGGGUUGUAAAGCACUUUUGUCCGGAAAGAAAUCAUCGGGGCCAAUACCCCUGGUGGAUGACGGUACCGGAAGAAUAAGCACCGGCUAACUACGUGCCAGCAGCCGCGGUAAUACGUAGGGUGCGAGCGUUAAUCGGAAUUACUGGGCGUAAAGCGUGCGCAGGCGGUGCUGUAAGACCGAUGUGAAAUCCCCGGGCUUAACCUGGGAACUGCAUUGGUGACUGCAGCGCUGGAGUAUGGCAGAGGGGGGUGGAAUUCCACGU
RNAcentral lists this ribosomal RNA (576 nucleotides) under uncultured bacterium. RNAcentral's name for it is "bacterial SSU rRNA". It matches the Rfam family "Bacterial small subunit ribosomal RNA", at positions 102 to 674 of the family's 1533-position model. The record is from RNAcentral.